UGGAGAAGCAGGGCACGUGCA
Molecule: microRNA, 21 nt
Filed under: Citrus sinensis (sweet orange)
Lineage: Eukaryota; Viridiplantae; Streptophyta; Magnoliopsida; Sapindales; Rutaceae
Also listed under: 42 other names
Description: csi-miR164d-5p
Gene: csi-miR164a-5p
Source: miRBase by way of RNAcentral